RNAcentral lists this ribosomal RNA (78 nucleotides) under Serratia marcescens. RNAcentral describes it as "partial 23S ribosomal RNA". The record is from RNAcentral. Lineage: Bacteria; Pseudomonadati; Pseudomonadota; Gammaproteobacteria; Enterobacterales; Yersiniaceae.
GUGUGUAAGUGCAGCGAUGCAUUGAGCUAACCAGUACUAAUGAUCCGUGAGGCUUAACCUUACAACACCGAAGGUGUU